AAAGACAUCAAUCAAGAGAAUUACUUACGUUUAGUUGAUAAUCCUGGAAAGGUAAUGCUUGAAUUCACGUCCGUUUUUGCAAGUCAUAAUGACCAGUUUGCGAAUUCUCGCUCUAAGUAAAUUGAUUUCGUGCUCAAAUAAAGAUUUGAAAAAAUUGCUUUGGUCAUCCUAUAGUGCUCCUCUAGCAGCGGCUGCUCCUGGAUUCCCUCGGGAAGCUUCAUCCGUCGUGAGUUUCACCCACGGACCCGUCCACCCUAUCAUUCUUGUCCCUCGUGAAGGUUUGUGGGUGUUAUUCUUCGUUAUCAAGCGAGUUUAGAUGGCGUAACUUUUUCGUUAAUGGGCCUAAAGCCCAUAAUGAUCUGAAAGAUUGCUAAACCCAAAAAAGAAGAAAAACC
Molecule: RNA transcript, 395 nt
Organism: Arabidopsis thaliana (thale cress)
Lineage: Eukaryota; Viridiplantae; Streptophyta; Magnoliopsida; Brassicales; Brassicaceae
Exons: 3
Source: RefSeq